RNAcentral lists this ribosomal RNA (305 nucleotides) under uncultured bacterium. RNAcentral describes it as "bacterial SSU rRNA". It matches the Rfam family "Bacterial small subunit ribosomal RNA", at positions 335 to 637 of the family's 1533-position model. The record is from RNAcentral.
GUUCCUACGGGAGGCAGCAGUGAGGAAUAUUGGUCAAUGGGCGCGAGCCUGAACCAGCCAAGUCGCGUGAGGGAGGACGGCCCUACGGGUUGUAAACCUCUUUUGCCGGGGAGCAACGGGCGUCACGUGUGGCGCCACUGAGAGUACCCGGAGAAAAAGCAUCGGCUAACUCCGUGCCAGCAGCCGCGGUAAUACGGAGGAUGCGAGCGUUAUCCGGAUUUAUUGGGUUUAAAGGGUGCGUAGGCGGAAUGCCAAGUCAGCGGUAAAAUCGCGGGGCGCAACCUCGCUCCGCCGUUGAAACUGGG